RNAcentral lists this ribosomal RNA (490 nucleotides) under uncultured bacterium. RNAcentral describes it as "partial 16S ribosomal RNA". It matches the Rfam family "Bacterial small subunit ribosomal RNA", at positions 30 to 507 of the family's 1533-position model. The record is from RNAcentral.
AUUGAACGCUGGCGGCAGGCCUAACACAUGCAAGUCGAACGGUAACAGGAAGAAGCUUGCUUCUUUGCUGACGAGUGGCGGACGGGUGAGGAAUGUCUGGGAAACUGCCUGAUGGAGGGGGAUAACUACUGGAAACGGUAGCUAAUACCGCAUAACGUCGCAAGACCAAUGAGGAGGACCUUCGGGCCUCUUGCCAUCGGCUGUGCCCAGAUGGGAUUAGCUAGUAGGUGGGGUAACGGCUCACCUAGGCGACGAUCCCUAGCUGGUCUGAGAGGAUGACCAGCCACACUGGAACUGAGACACGGUCCAGACUCCUACGGGAGGCAGCAGUGGGGAAUAUUGCACAAUGGGCGCAAGCCUGAUGCAGCCAUGCCGCGUGUAUGAAGAAGGCCUUCGGGUUGUAAAGUACUUUCAGCGGGGAGGAAGGGAGUAAAGUUAAUACCUUUGCUCAUUGACGUUACCCGCAGAAGAAGCACCGGCUAACUCCGUG